Molecule: ribosomal RNA, 768 nt
Filed under: uncultured Pseudoalteromonadaceae bacterium
Lineage: Bacteria; Pseudomonadati; Pseudomonadota; Gammaproteobacteria; Alteromonadales; Pseudoalteromonadaceae
Description: bacterial SSU rRNA
Rfam family: Bacterial small subunit ribosomal RNA
Source: RNAcentral
AUUGAACGCUGGCGGCAGGCCUAACACAUGCAAGUCGAGCGGAAACGAGUUAUCUGAACCUUCGGGGAACGAUAACGGCGUCGAGCGGCGGACGGGUGAGUAAUGCCUAGGAAAUUGCCCUGAUGUGGGGGAUAACCAUGGAAACGAUGGCUAAUACCGCAUGAUGCCUACGGGCCAAAGAGGGGGACCUUCGGGCCUCUCGCGUCAGGAUAUGCCUAGGUGGGAUUAGCUAGUUGGUGAGGUAAGGGCUCACCAAGGCGACGAUCCCUAGCUGGUCUGAGAGGAUGAUCAGCCACACUGGAACUGAGACACGGUCCAGACUCCUACGGGAGGCAGCAGUGGGGAAUAUUGCACAAUGGGCGCAAGCCUGAUGCAGCCAUGCCGCGUGUAUGAAGAAGGCCUUCGGGUUGUAAAGUACUUUCAGUCGUGAGGAAGGCGGCGUCGUUAAUAGCGGCGUUGUUUGACGUUAGCGACAGAAGAAGCACCGGCUAACUCCGUGCCAGCAGCCGCGGUAAUACGGAGGGUGCGAGCGUUAAUCGGAAUUACUGGGCGUAAAGCGCAUGCAGGUGGUUUGUUAAGUCAGAUGUGAAAGCCCGGGGCUCAACCUCGGAAUAGCAUUUGAAACUGGCAGACUAGAGUACUGUAGAGGGGGGUAGAAUUUCAGGUGUAGCGGUGAAAUGCGUAGAGAUCUGAAGGAAUACCGGUGGCGAAGGCGGCCCCCUGGACAGAUACUGACACUCAGAUGCGAAAGCGUGGGGAGCAAACAGG